Molecule: ribosomal RNA, 253 nt
Filed under: uncultured bacterium
Lineage: Bacteria
Description: partial 16S ribosomal RNA
Rfam family: Bacterial small subunit ribosomal RNA
Source: RNAcentral
UACGAAGGGUGCAAGCGUUACUCGGAAUCACUGGGCGUAAAGCGUGCGUAGGUGGUGCGUUAAGUCUGUCGUGAAAGCCCCGGGCUCAACCUGGGAAUGGCGAUGGAUACUGGCGCGCUAGAGUGCGGUAGAGGAGAGUGGAAUUCCCGGUGUAGCAGUGAAAUGCGUAGAGAUCGGGAGGAACAUCAGUUGCGAAGGCGGCUCUCUGGACCAGCACUGACACUGAGGCGCGAGAGCGUGGGGAGCAAACUGG